UCCCAGCUUCAAGACCAGCAAAAGCCAGCGAGUCUUUCUCACAGCACAUCUCUUUAGCCCUGAAUCUUCCGCCGCCCUCUUCCACAUCUAAGGGAAGUUGUGAUUACAUUGGGCCCGCGUGGAUAACCCAGCACUCAUCAGAGGCAUCCCAGAACAGGCGUCUGAAGCCGUUAUCACAAAGAAGAGUUUCAAACGUGAAGGCUUUGAUUUGCAAGAUGCGUGUGUUUGUUGACAGAAAAAAAGCUCCUGAGUCUGAAAGAGAGGCAUUGAUGGAAGCUCAGCACUGGCAGGAAGAGAGAAGGUAGAGCUGUCAUUGAAGGUGACAAGCUGGCUACGCAGAUAAUACCUGUGUUCUAUACGACCAUUUGGGGGACGUUACAGUCAAGAACACUGUUCUCACUUGCAUCUCCAAAAACUUAUUUUUUGAUAAUGCUCACAGUGACAAGUCAGGUUUAUGAAUAUGUGUUAAGCAAAUUAUAAGAGUUCGAAUAAAAAUAAAUAAGUAAAUAAAAAAGA
RNAcentral lists this long non-coding RNA (516 nucleotides) under Equus asinus (donkey). RNAcentral describes it as "lncRNA (ENSEASG00005030807.1)". The record is from RNAcentral. Lineage: Eukaryota; Metazoa; Chordata; Mammalia; Perissodactyla; Equidae.